RNAcentral lists this ribosomal RNA (510 nucleotides) under uncultured bacterium. RNAcentral describes it as "bacterial SSU rRNA". It matches the Rfam family "Bacterial small subunit ribosomal RNA", at positions 791 to 1300 of the family's 1533-position model. The record is from RNAcentral.
UAGUCCACGCCGUAAACGAUGUCAACUAGCCGUUGGGAGCAUAUAAGCUCUGAGUGGCGCAGCUAACGCGAUAAGUUGACCGCCUGGGGAGUACGCCGGCAACGGUAAAACUCAAAGGAAUUGACGGGGGCCCGCACAAGCGGUGGAGCAUGUGGUUUAAUUCGAUGCAACGCGAAAAACCUUACCUACCCUUGACAUCCUCAGAACUUGUUAGAGAUAACUUGGUGCCUUCGGGAACUGAGUGACAGGUGCUGCAUGGCUGUCGUCAGCUCGUGUCGUAAGAUGUUGGGUUAAGUCCCGCAACGAGCGCAACCCUUGUCCCUAGUUGCCAGCACGUAAUGGUGGGGACUCUAAGUAGACUGCCUGCGCAAGCAGUGAGGAAGGAGGGGACGAGGUCAGGUCAUCAUGGCCCUUACGUCCAGGGCUACACACGUGCUACAGUGGCGUAUACAGAGGGAAGCUACCUGGUAACAGGAUGCAAAUCUUCAAAGUACGUCCCAGUUCGGAUUG